GACGUAGGAUGCGAGCGUUGUCCGGAUUCAUUGGGCGUAAAGAGUUCGUAGGCGGUUUAUUAAGUCUGAUGUUAAAGAUCAGGGCCCAACCCUGGAGGUGCAUUGGAUACUGGUAGACUGGAGUGCAGUAGAGGCGAGUGGAAUUCCCAGUGUAGCGGUGAAAUGCGUAGAUAUUGGGAAGAACACCGGUGGCGCAGGCGACUCGCUGGGCUGUAACUGACGCUGAGGAACGAAAGCUAGGGGAGCAAAUGGG
This 253-nucleotide ribosomal RNA is filed under the name uncultured prokaryote. RNAcentral's name for it is "partial 16S ribosomal RNA". It matches the Rfam family "Bacterial small subunit ribosomal RNA", at positions 524 to 776 of the family's 1533-position model. The record is from RNAcentral.